AGCAGCCGCGGUAAUUCCAGCUCCAAUAGCGUAUAUUAAAGUUGUUGCAGUUAAAAAGCUCGUAGUUGAAUUUCGGGAUCAAUAUAUCGGUCGUGCCUUGGUACGUACUGGUAUCAUUGGUUUCUCCUUUCUGACGAACCAUGAUGUCAUUAAUUUGGUGUUAUGGGAAGUUAGGACUGUUACUUCGAAAAAAUUAGAGUGUUUAAAGCAGGCUUUAGCUUGAAUACAUUAGCAUGGAAUAAUGAAAUAGGACGUUCGAACCUAUUUUGUGGUUUCUAGGAUCAACGUAAUGAUUAAUAGGGAUAGUUGGGGGCAUUAGUAUUCAAUUGUCAGAGGUGAAAUUCUUGGAUUUAUUGAAGACUAACUACUGCGAAAGCAUUUGCCAAGGAUGUUUUCAUUAAUCAAGAACGAAAGUUAGGGGAUCGAAGACGAUCAGAUACCGUCGUAGUCUUAACCAUAAACUAUGCCGACUAGGGAUCGGAUGAUGUUAAUUUUUUAAUGUACUCAUUCGGCGCCUUAC
This 520-nucleotide ribosomal RNA is filed under the name uncultured Glomus. RNAcentral describes it as "SSU rRNA". It matches the Rfam family "Eukaryotic small subunit ribosomal RNA", at positions 569 to 1091 of the family's 1831-position model. Lineage: Eukaryota; Fungi; Glomeromycota; Glomeromycetes; Glomerales; Glomeraceae. The record is from RNAcentral.